GACGUAGGGCGCGAGCGUUGUCCGGAUUUAUUGGGCGUAAAGAGCGCGCAGGCGGCUUGGCAAGUCGGGUGUGAAAUCCCGGGGCUCAACCCCGUGACUGCAUCCGAUACUGUCAGGCUAGAGGUAGGUAGGGGAGAUCGGAAUUCCUGGUGUAGCGGUGAAAUGCGCAGAUAUCAGGAGGAACACCGGUGGCGAAGGCGGCAUCCUGGACCGGUAUUGACGCUGAGGCGCGAAAGCUAGGGGAGCAAACGGG
This 253-nucleotide ribosomal RNA is filed under the name uncultured bacterium. Its description in RNAcentral is "partial 16S ribosomal RNA". It matches the Rfam family "Bacterial small subunit ribosomal RNA", at positions 524 to 776 of the family's 1533-position model. The record is from RNAcentral.